AUUGAACGCUGGCGGCAUGCCUUACACAUGCAAGUCGAACGGCAGCACGGGAGCAAUCCUGGUGGCGAGUGGCGAACGGGUGAGUAAUAUAUCGGAACGUGCCCAGUCUGGGGGAUAACGUAGCGAAAGCUACGCUAAUACCGCAUACGAUCUAUGGAUGAAAGCGGGGGAUCGCAAGACCUCGCGCGAUUGGAGCGGCCGAUAUCAGAUUAGGUAGUUGGUGAGGUAAAGGCUCACCAAGCCGACGAUCUGUAGCUGGUCUGAGAGGACGACCAGCCACACUGGGACUGAGACACGGCCCAGACUCCUACGGGAGGCAGCAGUGGGGAAUUUUUGGACAAUGGGCGCAAGCCUGAUCCAGCAAUAGCGCGUGCAGGAUGAAGGCCUCGGUUGGUAAACG
This 400-nucleotide ribosomal RNA is filed under the name uncultured bacterium. RNAcentral's name for it is "bacterial SSU rRNA". It matches the Rfam family "Bacterial small subunit ribosomal RNA", at positions 30 to 431 of the family's 1533-position model. The record is from RNAcentral.